UACGUAGGGUGCUAGCGUUAUCCGGAAUCACUGGGCGUAAAGCGUGCGUAGGCGGCUUGUUAAGUGAGAUGUGAAACCGUGUGGCUCAACCAUAUCGUUGCAUUUCAUACUGGCAGGCUAGAGGACGGCAGAGGCAAGUGGAAUUGGUAGUGUAGCAGUGAAAUGCGUAGAUAUUACCAGGAACACCAAUGGCGAAGGCAGCUUGCUGGGCCGACCCUGACGCUGAGGUACGAAAGCUAGGGGAGCAAACGGG
RNAcentral lists this ribosomal RNA (253 nucleotides) under uncultured bacterium. Its description in RNAcentral is "partial 16S ribosomal RNA". It matches the Rfam family "Bacterial small subunit ribosomal RNA", at positions 524 to 776 of the family's 1533-position model. The record is from RNAcentral.